Molecule: transfer RNA, 70 nt
Filed under: Marmota marmota marmota (Alpine marmot)
Lineage: Eukaryota; Metazoa; Chordata; Mammalia; Rodentia; Sciuridae
Also listed under: 1 other name
Rfam family: tRNA
About the family: Transfer RNA (tRNA) molecules are approximately 80 nucleotides in length. Their secondary structure includes four short double-helical elements and three loops (D, anti-codon, and T loops).
Source: Rfam by way of RNAcentral
GAUGUCCAAGCUCAGUUGGUAGAGUAUUUGCCUCACAUGCACAAGGCCCUGAGUUCAAUCCCCAGUAUCA